RNAcentral lists this small RNA (854 nucleotides) under Rattus norvegicus (Norway rat). Its description in RNAcentral is "uncharacterized LOC108348752". Lineage: Eukaryota; Metazoa; Chordata; Mammalia; Rodentia; Muridae. The record is from RNAcentral.
GGAGAGGAGACUUUCUGGCUAUCUUCAAGCUCAGAUAGUAGUCAGUCACUGGACUCUUUAACUAUGAGGUUUCCCUGCUCUUGAUGAUGGAACAGAUUUCAUUAAAGACCGUCUCAAAUCAGAAGAAUGACUAAUCAAAAGUGAGAAGCCAUGAGUGUUUAGAAAACAAAUUCCUAAACAUUGGCUUGUAUUGAAAAGUGAAUAGAUAAACAGUUUUGCAGUGACCUGAAGGCUUGGAUAGAGAGAAUAAAUAAAUUAUUGACACAUGAGGAGUAGACAAUUCUCCAUCCACAGUUGAGCUUUUCAUUCUUUGCGGAGCAGAUGGUCCAAAUAAAGCAGCCAAAAAUAACAGGCAUUUUACCACUCCUAGUCUCAAGAGAUCAAUCCUACCAAGUAGCUAUCUGUGAUGUUACCACAGGCAUAGAACAGAAGACAUCUUUGGACUUCAACUUCGUUGUAAAACUUCAGUUUAAAUAGUUGAGCAAAAGCGUCUUUAAGUUUCAGUCUUCUCACAAAAAUCCACCGUGAACAAAAACGGGAAAAACAAUGACAUUUCCAAAACCUCGAACUGUAAGAAAACCUACCGAAUACCCCAACAUUCAUGCUUAUAUCUCAAAAACUUUCAGCCUGCUAGUUUUCAAAGGAAUAUAAAUACCAUGAUGACACUAGAAUAUAUAAAUGAGAAAAUGAGUGAAUAAAUAAAGAAUGGGUGUGGAAAAGCAGAGCUGUCAUAAGUCAUAGAGGAAACAUAAAAGAAAAGCAAACUUUAAUAAAGUGAAAGUCAUAUUAGAAGUAAUAAUAAAGAACCAGAAAUAAACUGCUGUUGUCUAGAGUUCUCAGUGAUGUGAAAAAAG